UGCAAGUCGAGCGGUAGAGAAGAAGCUUGCUUCUUCUUGAGAGCGGCGGACGGGUGAGUAAUGCCUAGGAAUCUGCCUGGUAGUGGGGGACAACGUUUCGAAAGGAACGCUAAUACCGCAUACGUCCUACGGGAGAAAGUGGGGGAUCUUCGGACCUCACGCUAUCAGAUGAGCCUAGGUCGGAUUAGCUUGUAGGUGUGGUAAUGGCUCACCUAGGCAACGAUCCGUAACUGGUCUGAGAGGAUGAUCAGUCACACUGGAACUGAGACACGGUCCAGACUCCUACGGGAGGCAGCAGUGGGGAAUAUUGGACAAUGGGCGAAAGCCUGAUCCAGCCAUGCCGCGUGUGUGAAGAAGGUCUUCGGAUUGUAAAGCACUUUAAGUUGGGAGGAAGGGUUGUAGCUUAAUACGCUGCAACUUUGACGUUACCAACAGAAUAAGCACCGGCUAACUCUGUGCCAGCAGCCGCGGUAAUGCAGAGGGUGCAAGCGUUAAUCGGAAUUACUGGGCGUAAAGCGCGCGUAGGCGGCUUGAUAAGAUGGGUGUGAAAUCCCCGGGCUUAACCUGGGAGCUGCAUCCAUAACUGUCUGGCUAGAGUACAGUAGAGGGUGGUGGAAUUUCCUGUGUAGCGGUGAAAUGCGUAGAUAUAGGAAGGAACACCAGUGGCGAAGGCGACCACCUGGACUGAUACUGACGCUGAGGUGCGAAAGCGUGGGGAGCAAACAGGAUCAGAUACCCUGGUAGUCCACGCCGUAAACGAUGUCAACUAGCCGUUGGAAUCCUUGAGAUUUUAGUGGCGCAGCUAACGCACUAAGUUGACCGC
RNAcentral lists this ribosomal RNA (823 nucleotides) under uncultured Gammaproteobacteria bacterium. Its description in RNAcentral is "bacterial SSU rRNA". It matches the Rfam family "Bacterial small subunit ribosomal RNA", at positions 56 to 872 of the family's 1533-position model. The record is from RNAcentral. Lineage: Bacteria; Pseudomonadati; Pseudomonadota; Gammaproteobacteria.